RNAcentral lists this long non-coding RNA (7132 nucleotides) under Homo sapiens (human). Its description in RNAcentral is "non-protein coding lnc-CXCL17-2:1". Lineage: Eukaryota; Metazoa; Chordata; Mammalia; Primates; Hominidae. The record is from RNAcentral.
CCUCCCCUCCAGCUAGGAAAGUCCUGGAUGGCAUCUUCUUCCAAUACCUGGUGGUUUUAUCUACACUGAAAAUAUGUUGCUUAAUGUAGCCGUCUUCAUCAAUGAUCUUAGCUAGAUCUUCUGCAUAACUUGCUGCGGCUCCUCCAGCAGCACUUGCUACAUCACCUUGCACUUUUUUUUUUGAGACAAAGUUUCACUCUUGUUGCUCAGGCUGGAGUGCAAUGGCACGAUCUCGGCUCACUGCAACCACCGCCUCCCAGGUUCAAGUGAUUCUCCUGCCUCAGCCUCCCAAGUAGCUGGGAUUACAGGCAUGCGCCACCACGCCCGGCUUCUUUUUUGUAUUUUAAGUUGAGAUGGGGUUUCUCCAUGUUGGUCAGGCUGGUUUCAAACUCCCGACCUCAGGUGAUCCACCUGCCUCAGCCUCCCAAAGUGCUGGGAUUACAAUCGUGAGCCACGAUGCCCGGCCGUCACCCUGCACUUUUAUGUUACAGAGAUGCCUUCUUUCCUUAAAUCUCAUGAAUCCACCUCUGCUAGCUUCCAACCUUUUUUCUGCAGCUUCCUCACCUCUCUCACCCUUCAAAGAAUUGAAGAGGGAUAGGGCUUCGCUUGGGAUUAGGCUUUGGCUUAAGGAAAUGUGGCUGGUUUGACCUUCUAUCCAGACCGUUCAGACUUUCUCCAUAUCCACAAUAAGCCUAGUUCACUUUUUUUUUUUUUUUCCAGACGGAGUCUCACUCUGUCACCCAGGCUGGAGUGCAGUGGCGCGAUCUCGGCUCACUACAAGCUCCGCUUCCCAGGUUCACGCCAUUCUCCUGCCUCAGCCUCCCUAGUAGCUGGGACUACAGGCACCCACCACCACGCCCGGCUGAUUUUUUGUAUUUUUAGUAGAGCUGGGGUUUCACCGUGUUAGCCAGGAUGGUCCCGAUCUCCUGACUUCGUGAUCCGCCCGCCUCGGCCUCCCAAAGUGCUGGGAUUACAGGCAUGAGCCACCAUGCCCAGCUAAGACUGGUUCACUUUCUUAUCAUUCAUGUGUUCACUGGAGUAGCACUUUUAAUUACUUUCAUGAAUUUUUCCUUUGCAUUCACAACUUAGCUAACUGGCAGAAGAGGCCUAGUUUUUAGCCCGUUUCAGCACUGGACAUGCCUUCCUCACUAAGCUUAAUCACUUCUGGCUUUUGAUUUAAAAUGAGAGACAUAAGACUCUUCUUUCACUUGAACACUUUGAGGUCAUUGUAGGGUUGUUAAUUGGCCUGAUUUCUAUUUUAUUUUAUUCUAUUUUUCAUCUCAUUUCAUUUAUUUGAGACAGACUCUCGCUCUAUUUUCCAGGCUGGAGUACAAUGGUGUGAUCUUGGCUCACUACAACCUCCACCUCCCGGGUUCAAGCGAUUCUCCUGCCUCAGCCUCCCGAGUAGCUGGGAUUACAGGCACACACCACCAUGCCCAGCUAAUUUUUGUAUUUUUAGUAGAGAUGGGGUUUCAGCAUGUUGGCCAGGCUGGUCUCAACCUCCUGACCUCAAGUGAUCCACCUGCCUCAGCCUCCCAAAGUGCUGGGAUUACAGGCAUUAGCCACCGUGCCCGGCCUCAAUAUUGUAUGUCUUAGGGAAUAUGGAGGCUCGAGAAGAGAGAUGGGGGAAAUGGCUGGUCAGUGGAGCAGUCAGAACACACACAGCAUUAAUCGGUAAAGUUCGCCCUCUUACGUGGACAUGGUUGGUGGUGCCCCCACUCACAAUAGUAACACCAGAGAUCAUUGAUCACAGAUCAUCAUAACAAAUAUAAUAAUAAUGAAAAAGUGUGAAACACUGUGAAAAUUACCAGAAUGUGACACAGAGACACAAAGUGAGCAACUGCUGUCAGAAAAAUGGUGCCAACAGACUGGUUUGACGCAGGGUUGCCACAAACCUUCAAUUUGUAAAAAAUGCAGUAUGUGCGAGGCACAGUGAAGCAAGGUAUUCCUGUAGUAAACUGUAUAGUAUGCUAGAUGGUGACAAGUGCCGCAGAGAAAAAUCACCCAAUACACCAUCUCAGGAAGGCCAAGUGAGCCCACAAAGCAAACCACAUGCAGAACAUGCCGGCCAUGGCCCCACUUAUAAAUUAUGUCUCCCACCCUGAGCCAGCAGAACAGCCAAGUGCAGUUUCCAGAUGAGGAAAACAGACUCAUCCAGGGUCGCCAGCAAGGGCUUGGGCCAUCUUUCUUUCCUUUUCUUUUCUUCUUUCCUUUCUUUCUUUCCUUCCUUUCCUUUCUUUCUUUCCUUUCUUUUCUGACAGAGUCUCGCUUUAUCGCCAGGCUGGAGUACAGUGGCGUGAUCUCAGCUCACUGCAACCUCUGCCUCCUGGGUUCAAGUGAUUCUCCUGUCUCAGCCUCCCAAUAGUGGGGACUACAGGCAUCCACCACCAUACCGCUAAUUUUUGUAUUUUUAGUAGAGACGGGGUUUCAGCAUGUUGGCCAGGAUGGUCUCGAUCUCCUGACCUCGUGGCCCACCCACGUCGGCCUCCCAACGUGCUGGCAUUAUAGGCAUGAGCCACUGUGCCUAGCCCACAUCGUCCCAUUUUCACAGCUGCAAGCCUAACACUGCCUCCUGAGGCCUCUGUCUAUCCAUCUGUCUGCCAGCCCUGGGGAGGGGCCGUCCUCUCCUGAGCUAACUAGCCCCUCUGCCCUCGCUCUGCUUCUUCAUGCCUUCCUUCCUGCUUCAUAUAUCCACUGAGCACCUGCUAUGUGCCAGGUCCCAUGAUAGGCCCCAGGGCCACCUGGGGGAUGACAGUCCGGGACAGAAGAUUCACUUCCAGCCAAGCAAAUGACCCUGAGGCCUCAGAGCCCCUCAGUCACACAGGCCCCUUUCAAGGCCCUAAUCUUUUUUGUUUUGUUUUAAGACAGAGUCUCGCUCUGUCACCCAGGCUGGAGUGCAGUGGCACGAUCUUGGCUCAGUGCAAGCUCCGCGUCCCAGGUUCACACCAUUCUCCUGCCUCCGCCUCCCGAGUAGCUGGGACUACAGGUGCCCACCACCAUGCCCGGCUAAUUUUUUUGUAUUUUUAGUAGAGACGGGGUUUCACCGUGUUAGCCAGGAUGGUCUUGAUCUGCUGACCUCAUGAUCCGCCCGCCUCGGCCUCCCAAAAUGCUGGGAUUACAGGCGUGAGCCACCACGCCUGGCCCAAGGCCCUAAUCUUGUAUUUGUAAUUCUGUAUUUCUUCUUCCUAAAGGGCCACACCCCGGUACCUUAUAAGUUUCAUGGCUCCAUAAAACCUAGUCCUGUCCUGGGGGAGAUGAACAAACACGUAAACAAAUUAUAAAGUGUCAAAUGGCAGGAUGGAACAGAACUAAAUAUCAUGGCAGAAAAUAACGGGGGCGUGCAUAUCUUAGCUGGGGAGAAGCAACUGGGGAGUACCUCUUGGAAGUGACAAGCUGAGGCCAGACAAGGAAUCUGUGGAAUGACACGGGUGAAUGACAUGGGUGAGGAAUCUCUCUCUCUGAGCCUCUGUUUCCCUGUGUGAGGUGGGGAUGCCAGUCACAGCAGGGUGGGCUGAGAGGGGUAAGUGGCAGGUCCAGGUUACCCAGUGUGGUCACACCACCCAGUAGGACCGACAGGCAGCUCAGGCCCCUAGCUGAGCCUGGCACUGCCCUUAAUCGGCUUUUGUCCUUCCAGGAGGGACAGGCAGGGCUGGCUACCUCCUCUCUCCCCCCAACAGCUGGGGCUGGCUGUGCCAGGGCCAGACUAGGAGGCGGGAGCUGAGAUCACUGGGCCUUUGGCUCCCUGAGUCCUCUCUGGGGACAGAGACUUCUAGGGGAACAGGCAAGGUGCUGGGCUUUGGGAGGGAAGUCACUGGAGCAGAUGGUAGCAUUCCACCAAGGGCAGCUUGUUCAGGACCUGGGUGACAGGGCAUCCAAGAAACAGGGCAGCCUGAAUGGCUGGGAAAGGAUAUCAGAGGAAAGAUCACUGGGGACUGGAAAGUGUGGAGAUCAGACGUAGUCCAGGGCAAGUUUUGAGAUGUGGCUUCCAGAGUCCUAGCGGGGAGCCCCACAUAAGUGUGGCUGUGGACCCAGAGAGCUGGGUUUACAAAAGCUCUGCCACUUGCAGUGCAACUUUAACCUCCUCACUUAAAACCUGAGCCUCAGUUUCCUCUCCUGUAAAAUGGGGAUGCUGGCAAUAAUAGAGAUUUGAACCUAGGUGGUGUGGGUCCCAGAGGGUUAGCACGCUAAAGCAGCAAACACACAGAAAGCUCUCAGCACGGGACCUGCACGGAUAUGCUCAAGGUCGACACCAGUGAUGAGUAUCGCUGUUCCAGGCAGGGGAGCAGGGCCGGCCAUGCAACCCAGGACCAGUGGACAAGCCUGAAGGCCAGGGGACCCCACUGGGGGAGAAGCAAGACUGAGUUUUGGGGAUCUCACAGAGAAACAGGGAGGGAACUGGGAUUUGGAGGGGGUUCCACAGCCAGACUUGAAGGAUGAGGAAUGACUCUUCAGUGAAGUCUAGAAUUGUGAACUCCUGAGUUCAGGGAGAGCUGCGCUUGGGGACCAGGGUCCCGAGAGAUGGGAAUGGGAGGGCUGGGGCUGAACUCUCCCAAAUGUUGUUGGAGGGGAAGGGCCUAUGGGUAGCACUUGGGGCCUAAGAAGGAAAGAUGGGAUGGGGGUCCUGAGAAUGGGGACCAACUGGAGGUUUAGACUUCUUGGAAUCUAGGAGAAGGAGUCUUGGGCCCCAGGAGAAUUCAUGGAGACAGGUGACUAGACUCUUGGGUUCCUGGAAGGAAGAAAGAAGGACCGGCAGCCUCCUGGAUCACAGGAGAGGUGAAUGAGUUAGGGAAGCAGAGUCGUGUGGGCUCAGGGAAUGUCCGGAUUCAGGAGGCCAGGGCAGCAAGUUUCUGAGUCCCAAAGAGGUGAUAGCAGGGGCUCCUGGGUCCUGAAGAGGAAGGGCUUGGGGCUUGGACUCCUGGGUCUGAGGGAGGAGGGAGCUGAGGGCCCAAACUCCUGGCUCCCGAGGAGGGACAAAGGCACUGGGAACUGGGGCCCCAAACUUCUGAUUCCCAGAGACAAGAGGGUGACCUCUUAUGUCUAAGGGAGGAGGAACCUGGGGUCCUGGGCCCCUGGAACUGAAAGAAGACAGCACUGAGGUUUGAAGGAGGAGUGGGUAAGCUAUGGCCCAGACUCCUGGGCCCCAGCUAAGCAAGGCUUGAUCCAGCCCCACCUAACAGGCCUCCCCACCUGCCCACAGCCUCAAGGCUCAUCCACAACAUGGACCUGCGCACAAUGACACAGUCGCUGGUGACUCUGGCGGAGGACAACAUAGCCUUCUUCUCGAGCCAGGGUCCUGGGGAAACGGCCCAGCGGCUGUCAGGCGUUUUUGCCGGUGUACGGGAGCAGGCGCUGGGGCUGGAGCCGGCCCUGGGCCGCCUGCUGGGUGUGGCGCACCUCUUUGACCUGGACCCAGAGACACCGGCCAACGGGUACCGCAGCCUAGUGCACACAGCCCGCUGCUGCCUGGCGCACCUCCUGCACAAAUCCCGCUAUGUGGCCUCCAACCGCCGCAGCAUCUUCUUCCGCACCAGCCACAACCUGGCCGAGCUGGAGGCCUACCUGGCUGCCCUCACCCAGCUCCGCGCUCUGGUCUACUACGCCCAGCGCCUGCUGGUUACCAAUCGGCCGGGGGUACUCUUCUUUGAGGGCGACGAGGGGCUCACCGCCGACUUCCUCCGGGAGUAUGUCACGCUGCAUAAGGGAUGCUUCUAUGGCCGCUGCCUGGGCUUCCAGGUGAGCCCCCUGCCCCGUGCCCCUCUGGGCCCACAAUGAAGGCACCUGGUGGCCCCUGGCCUGGCCUAUAGUAUGGUAAAGUAACCAGUGGUCAGCAUUAUCGGACUCAGCAAACAGCAGGUACAGAAAGGAGAAGUUGGCUGGAGCUCAGACAGAGCUGCACCAGGGGUCUCAAACUCAUGGUCCCUAGGUCAUAUCUGCUAGGUGGUAAGAAAUGCAACUUGCAGAGCUUUUUUCACCAGGAUAUCCACUACUCUCUAUUGUCCUACAUGCAAGAGAUGUAUUCACUCUUUGUUACCUGUCUGGCCCCUGAAGUCACUUGAGUUUGAGACCCCUCAGGGAGGGAUCUGGAGCCAUGUGACCCUAUAGUCAUUCUGGCCCUCUCUGGGCCUCCCCGCACCUCAGCCUCCCCCUCCCACCCCACAUCUCCAGGCUUCCCUUCAGGCUAGCCUAUCCUCAGCAACCCAGCCCAGGCAUUCCUGGAAACCUCCCCUCACCAGGGCUGAACCCACAAGUAUUGAUCAGCCCAGCUGGGCCAGCCAGCUCCUCCCUGUGUCCCAGCCGUGACCCUAGAGUCAUGAGAAAGAGAUCCCGGGGCUGCCCAAACCAGCAUCCCAGCCACAAUAGCCAGGCAUCAGGUGCCCUCUGGCCUACUGGGCGCACAGCCAGGGGCAGGGCCCAGCUCUGCCUUGGUGCAGGGCAGUCUCCCCUUUAAAAUGUCCGUCCCCGGGAGGGCAGAGGCCUCCCCUGUCUUGGUCACUGCUCCAGCCCAGUGUCUAGCAUGCAGUAGGAACUUGGCCAGUACAGAGUGAACAGAAGAACCCGCCAAUCCCUUGCCUUGGCCUCCUAUGGCUCCAUUUCCUCUAAUCCUGUGUCCCCAUUGUAUUUUUUUUUUUUUUUUUUUUUGUAUUUUGUUUAGUAGAGAUGGGGUUUCACCAUGUUGGCCAGGCUGGUCUCAAACUCCUGACCUCAAGUGAUCCACCCACCUUGGCCUCCCAAAGUACUGGGUUUACAGGCAUGAGCCACUGCACCUGGACCCCACUGUCUUUCCUUAACUGCCUGUCUGCUCUGUCAGACGCUGUCUCUCCCUGCCCCCGUGGUGGCUGGCUGGUCCUAUGUCUAGGCCUCAGUCUCCCUCUCUGACUGUCUUUCUGCCUCAGGUCCCUGUGCCUGGGGGGCUGUCUCUGGCCAUCUCCCUGUUCCUGUCUUCCAGCUGCCUCCUCUCCCCAUCCAUCCUCUCUCUGACUUUCAGGAAGUCCCUGCACCAUCCUACUCCCCACCUCACAGCCUACCAGUGGCACCACCCCGCACUGGGAAUGAAAUCCAAAUUCCUCUGCCCAGGCCCUAUAUGAGCCCCCUUUGCCUCUCCAAUGUCACCACCUGCCCCUCUCCCCACUGC